Setaria italica (foxtail millet) is the source of this 607-nucleotide long non-coding RNA. RefSeq lists it as uncharacterized. The record is from RefSeq and is a predicted model, not a curated record. NCBI's taxonomy places the organism in Eukaryota, Viridiplantae, Streptophyta, Magnoliopsida, Poales, Poaceae. The transcript is spliced from 2 exons.
GUUCCGGACCGGACGCCACCCGGAACCGGGGCGUAUAUGAACGCGGCGGGGUCAGACGCGGAGGGCGCACGCCGCGCUUGGAUCUCGCUCGGGCAUCAGACUUCAGACUCUGAAAGGAAGGACGAGAAGAGAAGAAACCGCGGAUUCAUCCCCGUCAGAGGGUGCUAAGACAAGAUGGUGGCCAACGGUGAUGCACCCGCUAGAGGGAGUGCAGCAGCAGCUGCAAGCCUGCGCAGGCGUAGAACAACAAGCGGUGCUGCUGGUGGUGGAGGUGGUGCCAGCUCGAUGCUCCAGUUCUACACCGAUGAGGCUGCUGGCGCCAAGAUGUCCCCGAACACUGUUCUGAUCAUGAGCAUUGGGUUCAUUGCCGUCGUGGCUAUGCUGCAUGUUUUCGGGAAGCUGUACCGCACUGCUAAUUAGGUUGCUGUUUACCAUGCCGAAGAAAGCUUAGUCUAUCAAGAGAGGGAAACCUUGUAGAGCGAUUUAAAUGGAUAUCAAGUGACUAUCAGAUUCUGAAAAGAAUAUGCUGUUGCAGAAGUUUAUGCAGCUUGCAAUGCUGAGCUGUCAUGGUUAAAAUCCUUUCCAGUCUUGUUUGGUCUUUUCUGCA